GACGAACGCUGGCGGCGUGCCUAAUACAUGCAAGUUGAGCGCUGAAGGUUGGUACUUGUACCAACUGGAUGAGCAGCGAACGGGUGAGUAACGCGUGGGGAAUCUGCCUUUGAGCGGGGGACAACAUUUGGAAACGAAUGCUAAUACCGCAUAAAAACUUUAAACACAAGUUUUAAGUUUGAAAGAUGCAAUUGCAUCACUCAAAGAUGAUCCCGCGUUGUAUUAGCUAGUUGGUGAGGUAAAGGCUCACCAAGGCGAUGAUACAUAGCCGACCUGAGAGGGGGAUCGGCCACAUUGGGACGGAGACACGGCCCAAACGGCUACGGGAGGGAGCAGUAGGGAAUCUUCGGCAAGGGACGAAAGUCUGACCGAGAAACGCCGAGUGAGUGAAGAAGGUUGUCGGAUCGUAAAACUCGGUUGGUAGAGAAGAACGUGGGUGAGAGUGGAAAGCUCAUCAAGUGACGGUAACUACCCAGAGAGAGACGGCUAACUACGUG
Molecule: ribosomal RNA, 497 nt
Filed under: uncultured bacterium
Lineage: Bacteria
Description: partial 16S ribosomal RNA
Rfam family: Bacterial small subunit ribosomal RNA
Source: RNAcentral